AUACGUAGGGGGCGAGCGUUGUCCGGAAUGAUUGGGCGUAAAGGGCGCGUAGGCGGCUUUGCAAGUCAGAAGUGGAAGUCCAUUUUUCAAGGAUGGACGUGCUACAGAAACUGCGGAGCUUGAGUGCAGGAGAGGUUAUCGGAAUUCCCGGUGUAGCGGUGAAAUGCGUAGAGAUCGGGAGGAACACCAGUGGCGAAGGCGGGUAACUGGCCUGAAACUGACGCUGAGGCGCGAAAGUGUGGGUAGCAAACAGGAUUAGAUACCCUGGUAGUCCACACUGUAAACGAUGAAUGCUAGGUGUAGGAGGUAUCGACCCCUUCUGUGCCGCAGUAAACACAGUAAGCAUUCCGCCUGGGGAGUACGGUCGCAAGAUUAAAACUCAAAUGAAUUGACGGGG
RNAcentral lists this ribosomal RNA (397 nucleotides) under uncultured bacterium. Its description in RNAcentral is "partial 16S ribosomal RNA". It matches the Rfam family "Bacterial small subunit ribosomal RNA", at positions 523 to 918 of the family's 1533-position model. The record is from RNAcentral.